Molecule: small nucleolar RNA, 126 nt
Filed under: Dasypus novemcinctus (nine-banded armadillo)
Lineage: Eukaryota; Metazoa; Chordata; Mammalia; Cingulata; Dasypodidae
Description: Small nucleolar RNA SNORA31 (ENSDNOG00000041486.1)
Source: RNAcentral
AUGCAUCUCUGAGAGACCUAGAGCAAUUAAUGCCUGCUAGGGUUUCCACCACAGAUGCAAGAGAAAGAAGAUCCUCAUGCUUUCUGUCUGGUUGUGGUCACCAAGUCUGAUUGGGGGAGUACAGGA